Molecule: transfer RNA, 62 nt
Filed under: Macrolycus lizipingensis
Lineage: Eukaryota; Metazoa; Arthropoda; Insecta; Coleoptera; Lycidae
Description: tRNA-Leu
Source: RNAcentral
UUAUUUUGGCAGAAUAGUGUAUUUGAUUUAGAAUCAUUUUAAGUAAUUUUUACAGGUAAUAU